AGCAGCCGCGGUAAUUCCAGCUCCAAUAGCGUAUAUUAAAGUUGUUGCAGUUAAAAAGCUCGUAGUUGAAUUUCGGGGUCAAUAAGUUGGUCAUGCCAAUGGUAUGCACUGGCUUUAUUGAUUCCUACCUCUUGACGAACUGUGAUGCCAUUAAUUUGGUGUUGCAAGGAAUCAGGACUGUUACCUUGAAAAAUUAGAGUGUUUAAAGCAAGCUUACGCUUGAAUACAUUAGCAUGGAAUAAUGAAAUAGGACGUUUGAUCCUAUUUUGUUGGUUUCUAGGAUCGACGUAAUGAUUAAUAGGGAUAGUUGGGGGCAUUAGUAUUCAAUUGUCAGAGGUGAAAUUCUUGGAUUUAUUGAAGGCUAACUACUGCGAAAGCAUUUGCCAAGGAUGUUUUCAUUAAUCAAGAGCGAAAGUUAGGGGAUCGAAGACGAUCAGAUACCGUCGUAGUCUUAACCAUAAACUAUGCCGACUAGGGAUCGGAUAAUGUUAAUUUUUAAUGA
Molecule: ribosomal RNA, 502 nt
Filed under: uncultured Glomus
Lineage: Eukaryota; Fungi; Glomeromycota; Glomeromycetes; Glomerales; Glomeraceae
Description: SSU rRNA
Rfam family: Eukaryotic small subunit ribosomal RNA
Source: RNAcentral